RNAcentral lists this ribosomal RNA (1634 nucleotides) under Aeromonas veronii. Its description in RNAcentral is "partial 23S ribosomal RNA". It matches the Rfam family "Bacterial large subunit ribosomal RNA", at positions 1243 to 2857 of the family's 2925-position model. Lineage: Bacteria; Pseudomonadati; Pseudomonadota; Gammaproteobacteria; Aeromonadales; Aeromonadaceae. The record is from RNAcentral.
GUAAGUCUGCGAAGGUGUAUCGAGAGGUAUGCUGGAGAUAUCAGAAGUGCGAAUGCUGACGUAAGUAACGAUAAAGGGGGUGAAAAGCCUCCUCGCCGGAAGACCAAGGGUUCCUGUCCAACGUUAAUCGGGGCAGGGUGAGUCGACCCCUAAGGCGAGGCCGAAAGGCGUAGUCGAUGGGAAGCAGGUUAAUAUUCCUGCACGACUUGUAAUUGCGAUGGGGGGACGGAGAAGGCUAGGUGGGCCAGGCGACGGUUGUCCUGGUGAAAGUGCGUAGGUGGUGUUUCCAGGCAAAUCCGGAGACACAACACUGAGACACGAGACGAACACACUACGGUGUGGAAGCCAUUGAUGCCCUGCUUCCAGGAAAAGCCUCUAAGCUUCAGAUUACAAGUCAUCGUACCCCAAACCGACACAGGUGGUCGGGUAGAGAAUACCAAGGCGCUUGAGAGAACUCGGGUGAAGGAACUAGGCAAAAUAGAACCGUAACUUCGGGAGAAGGUUCGCUCUUGACAGUGAAGUCCCUUGCGGAUGGAGCAGUUGGGAGUCGCAGUGACCAGAUGGCUGGGACUGUUUAUCAAAAACACAGCACUCUGCAAACACGAAAGUGGACGUAUAGGGUGUGACACCUGCCCGGUGCCGGAAGGUUAAUUGAUGGGGUUAGCGCAAGCGAAGCUCUUGAUCGAAGCCCCGGUAAACGGCGGCCGUAACUAUAACGGUCCUAAGGUAGCGAAAUUCCUUGUCGGGUAAGUUCCGACCUGCACGAAUGGUGUAACCAUGGCCAUGCUGUCUCCACCCGAGACUCAGUGAAAUCGAAUUCGCCGUGAAGAUGCGGUGUACCCGCGGCUAGACGGAAAGACCCCGUGAACCUUUACUACAGCUUGGCACUGAACAUUGAACCUACAUGUGUAGGAUAGGUGGGAGGCUUUGAAGGCGUGACGCCAGUUGCGCUGGAGCCGUCCUUGAAAUACCACCCUUGUAUGUUUGAUGUUCUAACGCAGGGCCCUGAAUCGGGCUCGCGGACAGUGCCUGGUGGGUAGUUUGACUGGGGCGGUCUCCUCCCAAAGAGUAACGGAGGAGCACGAAGGUUGGCUAAUCCUGGUCGGACAUCAGGAGGUUAGUGCAAUGGCAUAAGCCAGCUUAACUGCGAGACGGACAGGUCGAGCAGGUACGAAAGUAGGUCAUAGUGAUCCGGUGGUUCUGAAUGGAAGGGCCAUCGCUCAACGGAUAAAAGGUACUCCGGGGAUAACAGGCUGAUACCGCCCAAGAGUUCAUAUCGACGGCGGUGUUUGGCACCUCGAUGUCGGCUCAUCACAUCCUGGGGCUGAAGUCGGUCCCAAGGGUAUGGCUGUUCGCCAUUUAAAGUGGUACGCGAGCUGGGUUCAGAACGUCGUGAGACAGUUCGGUCCCUAUCUGCCGUGGGCGUUGGAUGAUUGAAGGGAGUUGCUCCUAGUACGAGAGGACCGGAGUGAACGAACCUCUGGUGUUCGGGUUGUCACGCCAGUGGCACUGCCCGGUAGCUAAGUUCGGAAUCGAUAACCGCUGAAAGCAUCUAAGCGGGAAGCGAGCCCUGAGAUGAGUCAUCCCUGACCCCUUGAGGGUCCUAAAGGGCCGUUGGAGACCACAACGUUGAU